Molecule: long non-coding RNA, 400 nt
Filed under: Citrus sinensis (sweet orange)
Lineage: Eukaryota; Viridiplantae; Streptophyta; Magnoliopsida; Sapindales; Rutaceae
Description: long non-coding RNA (CSIN_LNC000422)
Source: RNAcentral
UUAGCUAACUUGGAAGAAGUUGCAGCCGCCAGGGCUUCAGCUCGUGCUCGCGUUCGCGUUCUUACGCCAACUCGAGCGACCUCCAUCACUGGAAUUUCUGUAAGCCCUUGAGCCCUCAACUUUCUCACCGCGUUUCUAUGUUGCAGUUUCUCUUUAUCCUCUCUAUUUUGUCAUGGUUUGUUAAUUUGUACGUCUAUAUGGACUAUCGUCGUGGUCCAGGCUCCGUUAACAAGGACGGGUAAUCUGUAACGGGGAAUUUGACGGCGCCGUUCUUUAUACCAUUGGAGGACUGACAAGUGGAGUGGGACUUGUGAACUGUAGAGAACUGCACAGGAGUGAUUGCUUUUUUAUUUUUUUUUAGGGUAAUAUAGGAAAAUCGUACUGUUUGAGUGAAAGAAAG